This 273-nucleotide long non-coding RNA is filed under the name Lathyrus oleraceus (garden pea). RNAcentral's name for it is "Pisum sativum (pea) long non-coding RNA (PSAT_LNC035762)". The record is from RNAcentral. Lineage: Eukaryota; Viridiplantae; Streptophyta; Magnoliopsida; Fabales; Fabaceae.
CAUCUAUGAAUGACUUGAAAUGAAGAAGCAUUGAUCAAUCAAGUAAAUAACUCAAGUCAAAAUCAUCAAGUGUAUCAAAAGUCAAACAAAAAUUAAUUUAAAAAUGAUAAAAAUGGAAAUUAAAGAGAAAAUCCAAAAUAAUGAUCAAAAUAAUUCAAAAAUGGUUGCAAAACCUACACAAAGUCCUAAGUAUUAUGCAUGAAUAGAUCUCAAAGGUUGAAUGCAAAAAUGUUUUGAAAUGAUUAAAAAAUAAAUUGGAAAAGGAAAUUAAAA